GACGAACGCUGGCGGCGUGCUUAACACAUGCAAGUCGAACGGAAAGGCCCUGCGUUUGUGGGGUGCUCGAGUGGCGAACGGGUGAGUAACACGUGAGUAGCCUGCCCUUGACUUUGGGAUAACUUCAGGAAACUGGGGCUAAUACAGGAUAGGAGCUCCUGCUGCAUGGUGGGGGUGGGAAAGUUUCGGCGGUUGGGGAUGGACUCGCGGCUUAUCAGCUUGUUGGUGGGGUAGUGGCUUACCAAGGCUUUGACGGGUAGCCGGCCUGAGAGGGUGACCGGCCACAUUGGGACUGAGAUACGGCCCAGACUCCUACGGGAGGCAGAAGUGGGGAAUAUUGCACAAUGGGCGGAAGCCGGAUGCAGCAACGCCGCGUGCGGGAUGACGGUCUUCGGGUUGUAAACCGCUUUCGCCUGUGACGAAGCGUGAGUGACGGUAAUGGGUAAAGAAGCACCGGCUAACUACGUG
Molecule: ribosomal RNA, 468 nt
Filed under: uncultured bacterium
Lineage: Bacteria
Description: partial 16S ribosomal RNA
Rfam family: Bacterial small subunit ribosomal RNA
Source: RNAcentral